Molecule: ribosomal RNA, 253 nt
Filed under: uncultured prokaryote
Description: partial 16S ribosomal RNA
Rfam family: Bacterial small subunit ribosomal RNA
Source: RNAcentral
UACAGAGGGGGCAAGCGUUAUUCGGAAUUAUUGGGCGUAAAGGGCGCGUAGGCGGCCUUGUAAGUCUUGGGUGAAAUCCCUCAGCUCAACUGAGGAACUGCCUCGGAUACUGCAGGGCUUGAGGCCGGGAGAGGGUAGUGGAAUUCCCAGUGUAGCGGUGAAAUGCGUAGAUAUUGGGAGGAACACCGGUGGCGAAGGCGGCAUCCUGGACCGGUAUUGACGCUGAGGCGCGAAAGCCAGGGGAGCAAACGGG